This is a long non-coding RNA of Corvus hawaiiensis (hawaiian crow), 3402 nucleotides long. RefSeq lists it as uncharacterized. The record is from RefSeq and is a predicted model, not a curated record. The transcript has 2 exons. NCBI's taxonomy places the organism in Eukaryota, Metazoa, Chordata, Aves, Passeriformes, Corvidae.
CCGGGGCCUCCCCGCGGUGCUGCGCUGCCGGGCGGCAGCUGCGGCUCCUCCGUUCCCCGUGCCCGCCUCGCCGGGGCUGCGGGUGCUGUGCCGGCCGCACCGCUCGGGACCCGCGGCCGGGAGAGGAGUCAGGGCGGCUCUCACGGGGCAGCCGGAGGCGCUCCGUGGUGCCCCGUGGUGCUGGCGAUGCCCCGAGCCGCCGCGCUCGGUCCUGGUCUCGCUGUCCUGGCGCUCCACGCCUGCCCAGCCCCGGAGCUGCUGCUUCUGUCAGGAGCUGGGAGCUGGACUCGGGGUGACACACGUUACCAAACCCGACGUGACUGCUUGUUCGGACACCACCUUUCUGCACCUGGAACACCUGCCCGUGGAUUCCUUACACCUGUGUCACACGCUUGUCACACAUCUGUUCCUAAUCUCUCCCGCAGGACUGGGUGCUGUCGAACCUCUCCAAGGAGCUCGGAGAAUAAAAGAGAGAAAACCGUCUUGUGCAAACCCAGCCAGGUUUGGAUUCCCUUCGGCAGAGCAGAGCAUGUUGAGGUGCAGCCAGUGGUAUCGGUGGCUCGCCUGGUGUCGGUGCCGAGGAAUCCCCAUAGCACUGCGAGAUCACUUCCAUGGCUUCCCGGGAUCGCCACAGCCCUAGGGUCCGGCUGCAGCACGACGGGGCGGAGUGCCCGUCCCGACAGCAGAGGGCCGGCGAGGCACGGCCGCGGGCAGGGCCCCCUCGAGUUGUGCUGAGUUCGCUCUAAACUCAUCAGUCCCGUGACACUUGCAUUUUAAUUUGCGUUUGAAGUGGAAAUAGUUUUUAGGGAGAACUCUAGCGACAGAAAAGUCGCUUCCCAGGCGCAGCUUUUGCUCGCUGGGUAUCACCUUCCACAGCAGAUGCUCCUGGUGGGCUGGAGAGCAGCCAAGGGGCUGCCCCGGCAUGCAGGUCUGCCUGCUGCAAGCUCUGUCCGACAUGCUUCACCAUCCCUUUCAAGGCUGGGGGCUUGAAAGGGGUCAGUUCUGUUCAGAGAACCAGGCAGGCCUCAGUAACCUCUUCUGAAUGUUUUGAGAAACUGUCACACUUUUAACUGAUGUCACCCUUGGGAAGUUGUAUCAGCUGCCUUGGGAAGAAAACCUGAAACCCGAGGGAAUGCUGAAAUGAAUGUCACCUGUUUACUCACUGACCUGAAUUGGAAACACCUCACUUCUUGGCAGUGCCAAGAAGUGUAUUCCUUAUCCUAAACUCAUUUUCAGUCAGAAAAGACACAAGGUGAUGGGUUGGUUUUGUUUGGGUUCUUUUGAGGUGAGAUUUAACAAGAGUUUGCCAUUCCUUCAGAACUGAGUGGUGUGGACAGACCUAAUGAUAACGUGUGUUAACUUAUCUAAUGUGGGUUAUAGGUAACACUGGAGUAAUUAAUUAAUCCUGCUAUAUUCAAAGACACGCUUCGGAGUUUUGUUUUACGCAAAAAUCCUCUUAUGUCCCAACUGUCAGUAAGAAAAUUAUCUUCCACUAUAAGUUUUGCUGAAUUACAGGAAAAUUAAUCAAAUCUGUAAGACUUCUUGCUUAAAUCCUGAUAAAAGCACAGGUGGUAACACCUGUUGGAGCCAUGGCUUGACGUUGUUUAAGCAGGAGGCAAUUAGUUCACCAGGCUGAUGCUGCCGGAGUUCUGCCAGCACAGUGUAAGUGAGACCAGAUGUAGAAUCUUUAAUUGUUGGUAUUCAGUGCCUAGAGAGUAAUUCCCGGGGAGGCUUUUUCCAUGGUCACUUCCAAGUUCUUGAGGCCAGACCUGAGCUUCCCUUCACUGAGACCAAACUUGUUCUUGUGCACUUUUCUGGGGACUGCUGCCAGGUGCCGGUGAUGGCUGCUUAGAGCUUGGACAUAACUCCAGAGCUCUCCCAGGAGGAACACUGUCAGGACUGGUUUUCCUCCUCUUGUAUUGUAUUUAUUCACACCAAGCCUCAUCUGUCACUUUUCCUGCAAUUUUCCACUACUGUGAGGCUUCCCCCUGCCAGUGUCACCUCGUGGCUCGCUGCCUCCUCCAAAUGGCGCACGGACGAGAUCUGGCACAGCCGCAGGCAGAGCUGGUAUUUGCUGUCAGUGAUUCAGGCAGAACGUUCCCAUGGCAGAGGGGGGAGCUGCAGGCAGAGUCAGUUGUGGUGACAGCCCCGUGAUUCAGUUGCACAAGUCAGGCUGUCACGAUUGUCCCUGGGAUUCACAUCCCCACCCAGCUCCUCUGCUCGUGCCGCACAGUGGCUGUGUCCGGCAGCAGGGCUGGGAGGUGUCAGCGGCAAGGACCCCGCCAGAGAGAGCCAGCCCAUGCCAGGGGAUCCCAGCUGGUCCAGCAUGGCCAAGCACACAGCACAACUGCGGAGCAGCUGCCACACACUCGUGUGUUAGCACAGCUCCUCACUGUAGGUUUUGCAAAAUAUUUAUUGCAAAAUAAAGAAAUAUGGCAACAAAACUUAAAUAGCAAAUGACACAACACUGUGUGGCCAUAAAGCUCUUGCUGUAUUAUGAAUCUUUUACAAUAAACAAUAGUAAAGUGUGUCCCAGGGCAGCUGCACAUGGACAGCCCAUGUCACUGGCUCCAGCCAUCUGUGAUCUGUGACUUGUGCCUCCUGCUUGCACCUGUAACCGGCCCAAUCCCCCUAAAGCUGACAGGAGCCAGCACCUUCCAUGCUCUGUGAAAUGUGCCAUGCCAUACCCCAGGCCCUUCUCUCCUUUUUCCUUUUAAAGCUGCCACAGCUGACCCAGUGCCCUUCCCUUCCAUAAGGUAGCAGGCAAUGGAGGGACAUUGCUGAAGUACCUCCUGCUCCCCUUUGAGUCACAGCUUGUCCUGUGAGAGGUUGCUUGGAUUUCUUUCCUUUCUCACCUACUAGGAAAGGACAGGCAGCCAGGAAGGAGUACAGAAAUAUUGUGAGCAGCCAGGGAUCAGGUUAGGAAUGCUAAAACCCUAAAGAAUUAAAUCUGGCCGGGAUGUCAAGGGCAACAAGCAAAGCCUCUGUAGGUACAUCGGUGAUAAAAGGAAGACUUGGGAGAAUGUGGACCCUCUCUGGAAGGAAAUGGGAAACCCGGUUACCUGGGACAUGGAGAAGGCUGAGGUACUCAGCCAUGUUUCUGACUCAGCCUUCAUGGCAAUUUGCUCCAGUCACACUGCCCAAGCUGCAGGAGGCAAAGGCAGAGAGUGGGAGAACAAAGAACCACCCACAGGAGGAGAGGAUUGGGGUCAAGAAGGUCUAAGGGACCUGAAGGUGCACAAGUCCCUGGGACCUGACGAGAUGCACCCACGGGUUCAUAGGGACUGUUGGAGGAAGUGGCUUGGCCACUAUCCAUCAGAUUUGAGAAGCUGUGGCAGUCCAGAGACAUUCCCACUGAUGCCAAAAGGGGAAACAAUCCCCCUUUUUUAGAAAGAGGAAUAA